This 364-nucleotide unclassified non-coding RNA is filed under the name uncultured bacterium. Its description in RNAcentral is "contains 16S-23S intergenic spacer region". The record is from RNAcentral.
UCCCGGUUGGCCCGGGCAGUCUCGUGUGAAAAAUACAACACACGACAAGGGUUGCGCUCGUUGCGGGACUUAACCCAACAUCUCACGACACGAGCUGACGACGGCCAUGCAGCACCUGUCACUAGGUUCCCGAAGGCACAGCCCUGUUUCCAGGGCUUUCCUAGGAUGUCAAGCCUCGGUAAGGUUCUUCGCGUAUCGUCGAAUUAAACCCCAUGCUCCACCGCUUGUGCGGGUCCCCGUCAAUUCCUUUGAGUUUUAAGCUUGCGCUCGUACUCCCCAGGCGGCAGGCUUAUCGCGUUAGCUUCUCAGCCCAAGGGGUCGAUACCUCAAACUAAUAGCCUGCAUCGUUUACGGCGUGGACUAC